AGCCCCUCAGUCCCUUCAGCCGCGUCAGCCGCCUUAUCCCCUCGGCCCCUCAAGCCCCUCACCAGCCUCAGCCCCUCAGCCGCCUCAGCCCCUCAGCCCCUCAGCAGCCUUAGCCCCUCAGCCCCUCAGCCUCUCAGCCCCUCAGCCGCCCCCGCCGCCUCAGCCCCUCAGCCUCUCAGCCGCCCCCGCCGCCGUUAGCUCACCCGCCCGGCUGCCUUAGGGAUUGGCGCUGCCCAGCGGGGUCCAGCGCAGCCUCCUGCCGGUUUUCCCACCGGUGGCUCCCGCCACUGGCUCCCGCGCUCCGUGGGCAGGGCCAGUCCGGGGGAGCGGACCCCGAGAGGCGCGGCGGGAUGGCAGGCCGUGUCCAAAAGCCUCUGAAAGCCGCAGCCGGGCGCGAGUCGCUGACCGACCGGGAGGCCCCGCUCUGUCCCAGCCAAGGCCUCCCGGCGCCAUCACCCACCAGGAGUCCCGGGCGGGGGCAUCGCUCCCUCCACGCUGUCGCGGGCUUCUGCCAGGCGGUGAUCCGUGCCCAACGCCACCAAAGGGAAGCUUGUCCCCGAGAGUGGGGGAAAACGCAUCCUUCACGGGGAUGUGAAAACUCGAGGUCCUCCUGCCAGGAGCCCACGGCCUCAGAUGGGGCCCAGGACGCGCCCGCGCUGGGGAAGCGCCCCCUCCACCUGAGCCCGAAAUUGUCCCUAACAAACCCAACACCCGCAGGGCUGACGUUUGGGCUCCGGGGUGCGGUGUCCAUGAAAUGGGCACCGCGUGCUUCCCAUGCAAAAGACACGAAGUCUGGAGUUUAUGAAAUUAUUGAAGGAAAGCCGCGCCAGUGCCAAGAGAUCAUGGCCCAGAGCUGGCAGAACUGAUCAGACCAAUGCUGAGCAAAAGGCCUGAAGAAGACCAUCUGGAGGAGCAUCCGGAGGGCCUUCCCCAAAGCACCAGAUCGCCUUCCUUUCCGAGGCCACAAAGGCGAGAACCUCCAGAAAUAGCAUGAAACACGGUGACUUGGUGACAUCCAAGCCUGCUGCCACCGUGGUUUCCGGCAAGGCAGAAUCAAGGCAUGAAGUAAUCCACGCCAACCACGCUCCUCUGAGGGCUGAGCAAGACAUCGAUAGUGGGUGAAGCAUCACAGGUCCACAAAUUGAAAGUGUGCCCCCAGGAGCUGCACUAAAUGAUUUGUACCCAUCUGCACCUGAUUUAGAACAUUUAGAAGACGCAUGAGGAAGGUGCUCUUUUGAGUCCGGCUUCUUCACUCAAUAAUGACAUCUGUGAGAUCCUCUUAUAUUGUUGCAUGUGGUCAUAGGUCAUUCUUUUUCAUUGCUGUAUAGUAUUUCAUUGCAUGAAUACACUGUCAUUUGUUGAUGUUUUCUGUUUAUGGACAUUUAGGUUGUGCUAGACAGUGAUAGUUUUGACUGAGUAGAAGUUACCUUGCUAUGCAGCAGCAGAGAGGAUAGGGAGGAACAUUUGAGAAGACAGGAACAACAUGUGCAAAGGCCUUUGGCAGGAGGGAGCAUGCCUGGGGCCCUGAAGGCUGGUGUGGCUUCCUGGUACCCCGCUUCUAGGCCACUGUGUUCUGAGCGCCUGCUGCCCUGGCCUGGUGUGUGGCCCUCCACACCCAUUCCCACCUCCUCCUCCUGUGCCUUCCUGACCUGCAGGGGCUGGGAAGCUGAAGGGGAGUGAUGUAGCCACAGAAGAAACACGUGGAACCACAGCAGCUGGAGGCGGUGAGAAAUGGCAUCCCCCUAGGCCCUUUGUAGGAAGCAGGGCCCUGCCAACAUCUUGAUUGCAGAUUUCUCACCUCUAGAACUGUGAGAAAAUUAAUUUCUAUUGUUUUAAGCCACCAAGUUUUUGGUCAUUUGUCACAGAUCCACAGGAAACUCAUGUGUCUCAUGCAUUAGUAAGCAGCAUGGUAUUCUGGAUCUACUGGAACAGUCUCGCAAUGAGUUCAGACAAGAAUUACUAAAGGCAAUUGGUGAAAUUAAACAUCUUUCCAGCCUGCUGGCCAAGGUGAGGAGAGACAGUUUUUUACUGGUAUUUGCCCGUCCUUGUUCACAUUUCUACCCUUAACCUCUAAAUUCACAGAGCACAGAGAAGCAUUUGCUCAUCUAUUUCACUCAUGAAGCCAGCAUUCCAGCUUGAAGGCCUGUUAGAUUGCAGACAGAUUGGCACUGGGAUACAAAAAGGAAACACCCAAAUUUCUGGUGGUAGACAGUUCAAAGUGUAGUUGAGAUGUAGAGAAUCAAAGCAGAGAGUACAAUGCAGUGAUAAAGAAUAUCAGCCAGGCACAGUGGCUCACACCUGUAAUCCCAGGACUUUGGGAGUCCGAGGUAGGCAGAUCACCUGAGGUCAGGAGUUCGAGACCAGCCUGGCCAACAUGGCAAAACCCCAUCUCUACUAAAAAUACAAAAAUUAUCUGGGAGUGGUGGCGGGGGCCUGUAAUCCCAGCUACUUGGGAGGCUGAGGCAGGAGAAUUGGUUGAACCUGGGAGGCAGAGGUUGCAGUGAGCUGAGAAGAUCAUGCCACUGCAAUUCAGCCUGGGUGACACAAUGAGACUCCAUCAAGAAAGAGAGAGAGAGAG
Molecule: long non-coding RNA, 2578 nt
Organism: Pan troglodytes (chimpanzee)
Lineage: Eukaryota; Metazoa; Chordata; Mammalia; Primates; Hominidae
Exons: 3
Source: RefSeq, a predicted model, not a curated record